ACCUUUUUACAAUCAAUUAAAGACACUAUAAUGUAUAAAAUACUUUGGAAUAUUUGUAAAAUGGAAAAUAGAUUACCCUUUCUUAGUCGUGGUGAGGAGGUGGAGGAGACUUGUACUUGUAAACUGGAGGUGGUGGGGACUUGUACUUGUAAACUGGAGGUGGUGGGGACUUGUACUUGUAAACUGGAGGCAACAAGAAAUUCUAAUAUUCAUCCAAUUAAUAAUUUGAUGGCUGUCUGUGUAAUUUUCAAUUUUAAUUAUUCCUUGAUUGGGAUCCGUUGACUCCAAAGACGUAGCACUGUACUAGAUCUUGAUAUUGUCCUAGUCAUGAUUUUAUUUUAUUUUUUAAUUAUUUUUCCUUUCACCUCUCUCCUUCACACACGUGGAUUUUGAUUUUGACUACGAAAUUUAUUAGUUUUGAGUUUUUGACACUCGAAAACGAUAUUAUAUUAAACAAAAUAACUAAAGGCAUGAUGAAGAAAAGUAAUAUAAGCAAAGAAAUAAUAUGAUUUGUUUAAAUAUUUCGGGGUAGGUGGUGGUGGUGGAGACUUGUACACAUAAGGCUUUUUUGGGGGUGGUGGUGGAGACUUGUAGACAUAGGGUUUCUUCGGUGGAGGUGGUGACUUGUACUCGGGAGGUGGUGGAGACUUAUAUACUGGAGGCGGUGGUGGUGGAGACUUGUAGAUAUAAGGCUUCUUUGGUGGUGGUGGUGGAGACUUGUAUUCAUAAGGCUUCUUUGGGGGUGGUGGUGGAGACUUGUAGACAUAAGGCUUCUUUGGGGGUGGUGGUGGAGACUUGUAGACAUAAGGCUUCUUUGGUGGUGGUGGUGGAGACUUGUAUUCAUAAGGCUUCUUUGGGGGUGGUGGUGGAGAUUUGUAGACAUAGGGUUUCUUCGGUGGAGGUGGUGACUUGUAGACCGGAGGCGGUGAAGACUUGUAUACUGGUGGUGGUGGAGAUUUGUAAAUAUAAGGUUUAUCGUCAUCUGCAUUGGUUACAAAAGGCAAGGAUAGAGCCACUAUUGCCACCAUUAGAGUGGCAAUAAGAGAAGCCAUUGUAGACAUCUUUAGUUUUAGUUUUGAUUGUGCUAAGAACCCUUACAUGCAUCCCUUUAUAUAUAGAUUAGGAUUUACCAUUUUCAACUCAUUAAUAAUUGAUUAAUUACGGUUAAAAAAGAUAAAAUGACUAAACCCAUAACUUAAUCGCUAGAUCUUGUCGGUAAUUAGUGGCUGAAAGCUAAGCAAACGAAAUAAAAUAGGUUAUAUGACUAUUCUUUGUCCAUUUGAUGCAAUAAUUCAAUGAAAAAGUCUUCCAAUUGCAAGACUUUCUUUUCUUUUUUUUUUUGUGUAUAUUAAUAUGUAUUUAUAUUUCUAAAUAGUAUGAGAAAUUUGAAAUUUUGUUGCCUAACUUUGGAUAAUGAUUGGUACAUGGUUAACGAUUCAUAUUUUGCAACCCUUUUUCUUUUCAAACGGAGCACACAGUUUUUUCCUUUUUAAGCAUAAAUUCAUUAAAAUCUACGUCGAAUUUUUACGCCACCAUAUAUAUAUAUAUAUAUAUGUAUUGCCGGGCUCUCUGUUUUCAAUUUGCCUUAAUGCAUCGUGUAUUGUAUUUGUAAGAAUCAUUGGCAAAGUCGUAAUCGCUAGAGGAAGGGGAUUUAGGCCAUCUCCAACCAUUGCACCAAAUUGCACCAAAAUUUGGUGCAAACUUCCUCCAACCAUUGCACCAUUGCACCAAAUUUUUAUUAUUUUAGUUAGUUAGGAGGCUAAUAUAAACAUUGUAAAAAGUGGUCAAGUUGUAGUACGAUUCCAAUAUUCUAGAAAGAUUGGUUAUAUUCACACCAUAUAUAUAUAUUUUUUUGAUAAAUACACCAUAUAUUAAUCAAAUUACAGUUUAUUAUCACAAUUAUAUCCUUAAACCUUUCUUCAGCACACUUUUAUUUUUAACAUUUCAUUAAUUAGAAUAUUUUGUCCUUAAUCAUCAUUUCUCAUUUCCGUCCAAAAAUAUUAUUAACAUUCUUUAAAAUAAGAAUCAAAUAUUUAAUCGCACUUUUGUAGUAUUAUUUAUUUUGCUUAUUCAACAAUACCAUGGGCAAAUGAGUCUUUUGACUCUAUCUCAAGGAAAAAUUUGGAGAGAACCCAUAAUAAAAAAUAAUUUAUGUAUUUGAGAAGAAAAAUGCGAUGAAAAAAAUUUUGAGACAUAAAUGUAAUAAUGUGUAAAAUUAAGUUAUGAAUAUUUUAUGCAAUUAAAAUGUAGUCUAGUUAUUAAAAUUUGUGGUGUGAAUAUGUUAAGCCAUUCUAGAAUUGUGUCCAACACAUUAUUUGAAAAUUAUGUUUAAAUGCUUGUUUGGAAUAGUAUGAAAAGUUGCCAGAAAGUUGAGAUCAAAAUCAACAAUUAAUUUUAAUCAUACGUUAAAUGAUCCAAAUUUUUAUUUAACUUUUCAAUCACAUAUAUUGUCAACUUCUAUCUAAAUCUACUAAAAUUUUUAUCAAAAAAUUUUGUUAAAUAACCCUAAACUUUGACAAGUGCAAGUUUAGUUUGGAUUAACAUGGUGAAGAUCGCCACAAGAAACUACGAACCUAAGGAUAAGAGACGUAAGGAAUAUCAAUAAGUACGAAAAUUGUAUAUUAACCUAUAUAUAAUCUCAAUGAUUGUGACAACAUGCGAUGACAUGGGAAUCUAGAUAUUCUAGUGAUCAAUUCGUAAGUUGUAAAUUGACUCAUGUAUGUACAAGUUUAUUUAUUAUUCAAAUUUCAAAUAUGGUGCAACACUAUUCAUGUUGCACCAUUUUGCACCAAAUGGUGCAAUGUCCAUUUUACCUUUAUUUUUCUUUUUUCAAAGUUAAGGGUUAAGGGCAUUUGUGUCAUUUUCGUUCUAUAAUAAUAAUGAUAAUGAUAAUGAUGAGAAUAAUAAUAAUUACUUAAUUAAUUAUACUCUUAAUUAUAUUAUUAAAAUUUAUUAUUUUUAAUAAUAUAAUCAAUAAUAAUUAACGUAAUUGUUAAUUUAACGUACAGUUAAAUUCGUAAGGUUUACGUUUAAAAUUUAAUUUAAUGUAGAGUUUAUAUUAUUAAAGUUCAUUAUUUUUGUAAAUUUAACGUAAUUGUUUAUCAUAAAUUAAUAAUAUAAUCAAUUAUUUUUGUCAAUUUAACAUAAUAUAUAUGACAUGUAAUAAUAUAGUAAUCAAUAUAUUUGUUAAUUUAGUGAAGUUAUGAAUUAGUAAUAUAUAUAGUUAUAAAAUAAAUAAAUAAAUAAAUAAUAUUUUAAAAUAAAUAUAUUGUCAAAAAUCGAAAGAAUGAAUAAAAUAAUAAAGUACUGUUCAUUUGGUGUAAAUUUUGGUGUAAUGGUUGGAGAAGAAUUUUGGUUUGGUGCAAGAUUUAGUGCAAAAUUUGGUGCAAAAUGAUGCAAAAUUUGGUACAGGGUUGGAGAUGACCUUAGGAUUGCAAAAUAUGCUUUUUAAAAAUAAAAAGUCUCUUUGAAAUACUUUAAAAUAUUAAUCACCAGGUCAUCUACCGCUUCCCGAAGUGAGGUCCCACUAUGAUCCGACAAUUCUUGAAGUAGUUAAUAAUUCCUUGCUUAAUGAAAACAUCGUCCCACUUACCCUUUUGUGGAGCUUCCGUCCCUUCUAGAGAAAAGAAUGAUAGUUUUAAAAGUUUUAGCUUAAAAUUUUUAGUUUUUCUAGCGCCCACUUUGUUAAGGGAUAUAAUUCCGCAUCGAAUAAAGAUGAAAAUAUUGACCACUUUAUAAGGGGGUUUGAGCUACUCCUCUUAACGAGGUUUACCUUUUAAGAUGGAACCCUAAAUCUUAACAUGAUAUCAGAGUCCAUUAUAUUUCAACGAGAUCUACUAAAAAAAGAGCCACUAUCUUGCGGGACAUGUUAAGGGAUAUAAUCUCAUAUCGAAUAAAGACGAAAAUAUAGAUCAAUUUAUAAAGAUUUGUGCUACUUCUCUUAACAAGCUUGACAUUUUAAGAUUCAACCUCAAGUCUUAACACAUUUAUCUUCCACUACUAAUAGACUUUUUUUUUUUUUUUUUUAAAUCAAAACGGAAAAGUAGCCCUUACAUUUAACUUGUAAAUUAGAAAAUAGAAUUUAAGUAUAUAUAGUGCAUUAUAUUUUCUAACAAAUGCACUGAUGAUAGAGAGAAUCAAAGAAAUUAGAGUCGAAAUAAUUUUAUAUAAUCGAAUCUAAAAAAUUUAUCAAGAAUAAAUUUUUAUUUAUUUAUUUAUUCUUUCGACCUUUAAUUAAUAUUGACCGAAAAAAAAAAAAAGCAUCUAGUUGAUCCGUCUACGCAAGAUGGUCACAUAAAAUAACGAAUCUUAGUUUCUAAAAUUAGGUGAAGACUUAAUCAAAUUAAUUAAUUAUCAGGAUAAACAUUAAAUUUAUUCAUGAAGAACUGGUCAUCUUAAUUUUUUCAUUCAAAUUUGAUGUAAAGAUGUUUGAAACUGCACACGAUGAGCUUUUCUAAGGAAGAAAUAGUCAUCUUAAUUUGGUAAUAAAUAAUUCAGUAAUAAACAUUUAAGUGAAAAAAACGUCAUUAUAAAAAAUUAAAUAGGAAACCCUCUUUAUUUACCUUUAACUCGUUUUGAAAAUCUUGGUAGAAGUUUUGCUUAUAUUGUAUAUUGUAAGAGAAAAAUAAAGCAAUGUGAACAUCUUAAAAAUUAAUCACAAUGGAAGGAAAAAAAAAUAAUCAUAGUCAAUUAUACGUGGUAUGAUUGAGAGCUAAAAUCCAAUCUAUUUAAAGGGCCCACUUUGGUCAACCUUGUAGACUAAGGGAGCUACUUGAGCCCUAUUUUUUAUUAAAAAAUAAAUUUUGUAAUAGUGAUUUUUUUUUUUUUUUUAGAAUAUUUGAUUAAAAAAAGUAAGGAAAGUUUCAUGUUUAUGUGCAAAAUUAUUUUAUUGAAAGAAUUUAAUUGAAAAUGAGUCUAAGAAAAAAAAAAUUAAAGAACGGAGAUCAAAGAAAGACUAAGCCCCGUUUGGUAAUAAUUUUUCAUCCCAAAAAAUCAAAAUUUUAACCGUUAUUUCACUAUUUCAAUCAUCAUUUUUGACUUCUUUAAUCACAAGGAGGACCUAUUUCCUCUCUAACAGUCAAAAAAUCACUUCUCAUAAUUAUUACCAAACAUACCGUAAAACUGCAAAUUUUGUUUGAUAAUUUACUUUUUUUUUUUUUUUUUUUUUUUUUUUUUUGAUUAGUUAAUUUAAUCACCGACAGAACCAAAUUAUUAGAUUAGCAUAAUAAACAAUAUUAUUAGGUUUUUUUUUUUUUAUAAUAAUUCUUUGUUAACAAUCAAUAUAAUAUCGUGCCAUUGAUAGUCGGUACAACAGUGUUAGCAAGUUGUGCCAAGUUGAAAUUUCAAAUAUAUACUUUUGCAAUGUUUUCUUUACUAUAGAUUAAAUUGAAUUAUUCGCUUAUUUGCUUAGUGAUAUUAUUAGUUUAAUUACUCUUUAAUCACCGACAAACAAAGAUUAUCUUAAUCAUCUAAUCUUAGAUUAACAUAAUAAAAAAAUAUUAGUAGGUAGCACUUUGUUAACACUUGAGAUUUGAGUCGACAAUGUGAACUACUAGCAUCCUAGGUCAUUUACUUAAACAUAUAAUUUUUCUUUUAAUAUGGAAGAUCAAAUCUUAAUAAAGGGCAAUCCCAUAAUAUUUUAUUGUAUUACAUAAAAAUAAAAAGGGUGGUCAUAUUGCCACUGUAUUUUUUAUUUGAUACACCACAUUUUAAUUGCAAUUAAACUCCUCAAUUUUUUACUCAUUUUAUCAUUUAUUUCUUUAACAUUUUUAUUGAAUUUUUAUCUUUAACUUUUCAUUAAUUAAUACAUCUAGUCCUUAAUGAUAAUUUAUAUCAAAAUAUUUUAUUUUUAUGAUUUGAAACGAGGGGAAAAUAUUUUUGACACUUUUAUUUAUUUAUUUUUAAAAAAAUAUGAUAGAAAAUAAGUUAAUCUACGCAAUUUCGAUGAACUGUUGGACAUAAAACUAUUAUUACAUUUUUAUUUAACUUUUCGACCACAUAUAUUGUCAACUUCUUUCUAAAUCUACUAAAAUUUUUUAUCAAAAAAUUUUGUUAAAUAACCCCCUAAACUUUGACAAGUGCAAGUAAAGUUUGGACUAACAUGGUGAGGAUGGCCACAAGAAACUACGAACCUAAGGAUAAGAGAUGUAAGGAAUAUCACUAGUACGAAAAUUGUAUAUUUAGCCUAUAUAUAAUCUCAAUGAUUGUUACAACGUACGAUGAACAUGGGAGUCUAGAUAUUCUAGUGCUCAAUUAGUAAGUUGUAAAUUGACUCAUGUAUUUACAAGUUUAUUUAUUAUUCAAAUUAUUUAAUUUUUUUUAAGAGAAUCGAGUAGAGGACUUUGAUGGUGAAACAACAAUUUUUAACCAAUCACGACAAAAUGAAUUUAUUUAAAUAAUACUAUUAUCACAUCUCUUCAAAUGCUAGACACAUUUUUUUUUUUUUCAUCAAUAGCCUCUUAGUGCAUGCCCAAUUCACUUUUUCAGCAAAUUUAUUUAUCUAAGUUAUGUCUUCAAUAAUCCAUUCGAUUUUAGCUUUAGCCGUGAAAAGGGUUUUGGCUUGAAGAGCCAUUUUUUGUCAAUAAAAUAAAUAGAUUCUGUAUUAAGUAUAUUUUACGUUUUGUAUUUUACUCAAUAUGUCAAUAUCUAAUUCCAAGAAAUUAUUUAUGUAUAUUUAUGUUUUCAAUAUGCCCCAACAUAUCUAUGCUAUGUGAACAUCUUAUAUUUAUCGCGAUAGAUGUUAUUUGAAUUCUUAAAUUUUAUCAAAUUAAGUAUGAUAUUUAAUAAUCUCAUCUACUUAAAGUAAAGAUUUAUUUCAAGACUUCCAUUAAACAAGAACAUGAACAUUCACUUAUUUAUUAUAUAAAUCAUGAAACACUCUGCAUACAACCAUGCAUGGCUUGCUACGUAAAACAUAGGGACGCUAAUCUUAAUAAAAUAAACAAACUGAAGAAAAUUAUGACAACUUCUUCUGCAGUAUAUAUAGCUUAUUCUAUUCUUCUUCCAUCGCUUUCAUUCUUCCUCAAAAAUCAUUUUCAGCAUAUCCAUUUCUUCUUUAUUCUGGAAAUCUUCUCCUUCCUGCAAGAAUGGAUUGGCUUAUAAGAUUAAAACGAGUUGUUAGAAUCAACUAAAUCGAACUCUAAGACUCAAUAUGGUAUCAGAGUCAAAUAAACUCAACAAUACGAUUCCACGAUUGAUAUUUACAAACGAGUCUAGCAUUCUUGAUUUUCAUAUUGUCUGGCAAUUUUUUGUGUUGUCUGUGGUGAAGUUUAUUCCAUUAUUUUAUAUGUUUACCUUUUUACAAUCAAUUAAAGACACUAUAAUGUAUAAAAUACUUUGGAAUAUUUGUAAAAUGGAAAAUAGAUUACCCUUUCUUAGUCGUGGUGAGGAGGUGGAGGAGACUUGUACUUGUAAACUGGAGGUGGUGGGGACUUGUACUUGUAAACCGGAGGUGGUGGUGGUGGGGACUUGUACACAUAGGGUUUCUUCGGGGUAGGUGGUGGUGGUGGAGACUUGUACACAUAAGGCUUUUUUGGGGGUGGUGGUGGAGACUUGUAGACAUAGGGUUUCUUCGGUGGAGGUGGUGACUUGUACUCGGGAGGUGGUGGAGACUUAUAUACUGGAGGCGGUGGUGGUGGAGACUUGUAGAUAUAAG
Molecule: long non-coding RNA, 7654 nt
Filed under: Olea europaea (common olive)
Lineage: Eukaryota; Viridiplantae; Streptophyta; Magnoliopsida; Lamiales; Oleaceae
Description: long non-coding RNA (OEUR_LNC001650)
Source: RNAcentral